This 264-nucleotide ribosomal RNA is filed under the name uncultured archaeon. Its description in RNAcentral is "partial 16S ribosomal RNA". It matches the Rfam family "Archaeal small subunit ribosomal RNA", at positions 716 to 982 of the family's 1478-position model. The record is from RNAcentral.
ACGUCUACAUUAGACUACCCCCGUAGUCCCAGCCGUAAACUAUGCGCGUUAGGUGUAUCGGUGACCACGAGUUACCGAGGUGCCGAAGGGAAACCGUGAAACGUGCCGCCUGGGAAGUACGGUCGCAAGGCUAGAAACUUAAAGGAAUUGGCGGGGAGCACCACAACGGGUGGAGCCUGCGGUUUAAUUGGACUCAACGCCGGGAAGCUCACCGGAUAAGACAGCGGAAUGAUUGCCGGGCUGAAGACUCUGCAUGACUAGCUG